This 107-nucleotide small nuclear RNA is filed under the name Callithrix jacchus (white-tufted-ear marmoset). The record is from RNAcentral. Lineage: Eukaryota; Metazoa; Chordata; Mammalia; Primates; Cebidae.
GUACUCGCUUCAGCAGCACAUAUACUAAAAUUGGAACAAUACAGACAGGAUUAGCAUGGCCCCUGUGCAAGGAUGACAUGCAAAUUUGUGAAGCGUUCCAUAAUUUU